RNAcentral lists this transfer RNA (76 nucleotides) under Burkholderia multivorans. Its description in RNAcentral is "tRNA-Gly". It matches the Rfam family "tRNA". From Rfam's summary of the family: Transfer RNA (tRNA) molecules are approximately 80 nucleotides in length. Their secondary structure includes four short double-helical elements and three loops (D, anti-codon, and T loops). The record is from RNAcentral. Lineage: Bacteria; Pseudomonadati; Pseudomonadota; Betaproteobacteria; Burkholderiales; Burkholderiaceae.
GCGGGGGUAGCUCAGCUGGUAGAGCGCAACCUUGCCAAGGUUGAGGUCGCGAGUUCGAACCUCGUUCCCCGCUCCA